AAGUCGUAACAAGGUUUCCGUAGGUGAACCUGCGGAAGGAUCAUUAGUGAAUCUUUCAAAGUCGGCUCCGUCCGUUCUGUGCUGGUGGAGACACAUGUGCACGUUCGGCGAGUCGCAAACCCACACACCUGUGCAUCUAUGACUCUGAGUGCCGCUUUGCAUGGCCUUGACGGGCCUGGCGCUCGAGUAUUUUCACACACUCUUGAAUGUAAUGGAAUGUCAUGUUGUGCGUAAUGUACAAAAGAAACAACUUUCAACAACGGAUCUCUUGGCUCUCGCAUCGAUGAAGAACGCAGCGAAAUGCGAUAAGUAAUGUGAAUUGCAGAAUUCAGUGAAUCAUCGAAUCUUUGAACGCACCUUGCACCCUUUGGUAUGCCAAAGGGUACACCCGUUUGAGUGUCAUUGUAAUCUCACUACGAUUGACUUUGUCGUCUUUCUGUAUGUGGACUUGGAUGUUGUCGUGGAUAUCCACGACUCGUCUGAAAUGCUUGAGUGUACCCUGCUUUGCGGCGUAUUCGGUGUGAUACAUCUUCACCGGAGUUGAUCCUUUUGGGUCGCGUCUAUACAAGUGUGGCUCUAUGCUUCCAACCGUCUUCCAGGAGACAUGUUUGACAAUUUGACCUCAAAUCGGGUGGGACUACCCGCUGAACUUAA
Molecule: ribosomal RNA, 654 nt
Filed under: uncultured fungus
Lineage: Eukaryota; Fungi
Description: eukaryotic LSU rRNA
Rfam family: 5.8S ribosomal RNA (bases 249-402)
Source: RNAcentral